UCCCCAUUCGACCCGUCUUGAAACACGGACCAAGGAGUCUAACAUGUGUGCGAGUUUUUGGGUG
Molecule: ribosomal RNA, 64 nt
Filed under: Kryptoperidinium foliaceum
Lineage: Eukaryota; Dinophyceae; Peridiniales; Kryptoperidiniaceae
Description: partial Eukaryotic large subunit ribosomal RNA
Source: RNAcentral